CGAAAUUGGAGAACGAAUUCGUGCGUGAUAUGAUAGGUAAUAAAUAUCCGAUUCUUAAUUUUGUACCACAUCCGGAGAACGCGUGUACUGUAAUUUGCAUGAUUGCAUCUUUGUGGAGAACAAUCGCGGCAAAAUGUCAUUUUCCAGCGCAGGAACGGAAGGGGCUUGUCAAGCACUCAAUGCUCUGGCCGAUCUUUCGCCUUCACGGAUCAUCACGGCUCUCAUGUUUGGUCGUGAAACCAGCAAGCAGCACAUAAUUUAAUCAAGAAAAGAAAAGUUGUACUCCUACUUCGAAUCGAUCUUCGAUCAAACGGUCAAAAAAGCAGCCUGGAUCAUUCUGCUCAGCUUCUUCAACGAACAAAUGUUCAGAUUUCUACAACAAACAAAUGUUUGAAACUUGCAACCAGUAG
Molecule: long non-coding RNA, 410 nt
Filed under: Triticum aestivum (bread wheat)
Lineage: Eukaryota; Viridiplantae; Streptophyta; Magnoliopsida; Poales; Poaceae
Description: long non-coding RNA (TAES_LNC005781)
Source: RNAcentral